Molecule: non-coding RNA, 97 nt
Organism: Knufia fluminis
Lineage: Eukaryota; Fungi; Ascomycota; Eurotiomycetes; Chaetothyriales; Trichomeriaceae
Source: the annotation of a GenBank genome assembly
GGGGACAUAACUCAGUGGGAGAGUGUCUGACUCCAGAUUGGAAGUCAUUCCUAACUGCGAUAUCAGAAGGUCGUCCGUUCAAUCCGGGCUGUCCUCA